Molecule: long non-coding RNA, 1888 nt
Filed under: Octopus sinensis (East Asian common octopus)
Lineage: Eukaryota; Metazoa; Mollusca; Cephalopoda; Octopoda; Octopodidae
Description: uncharacterized LOC118763044
Source: RNAcentral
UGUAUUUAUGCAUAUAUAUAUAUAUAUAUAUAUAUAUAUAAAAAUUUAUCUAUGUUUAUGAGGGUAUUUAUCUAUAUAUAUCUACAUAUUUAUGUAUAUAUACACACACACAAACACUAUGUUAAAGCGCUGAAUAGUGACCUACACAUAUUCAGCAUCGAAUCAAUAUUUCUCCUGUCAGUUUUUUUCCACUGUCCACUUCUCUCUCUACAACUUCCUUCACCCAAUAAUACUCCCAAUCAGCCAGUAGUUUCACAGUUCCUCUCUUGACAUCAGGAGUGUAUUCUGUCUAUUGCCAAGACUCUUGUCUCUGAAGUAUUCCUCUCCACCAAACUAUAAUUAGGUACUCUAAUGAAUAAAGUAGUGUUAAAUUUGGAUAUCUCUUUGGGUACAACUCAGAAAUGAAUGAACACCACAUAAGAUGAUUUGCUUUAAUAAAUCUUCUUCUUUGUAACCCCUUCAAGUCUGAGAAUGAUAUUUCUGCAAGUUCUUGCUGAACAACCUGUACAGAUAAUUUGUUUAUAUUGCUAAAAUGUUUUUGUUGUGCAUUUGCUCACUCCCUCCAUCAAAUCAACAUCGCUUGUACAGGUGCACAGUGUGUUACAUGUCUGGUAUCAAAGUGAUCGCAGAGCCAUGUGAAAUUAAAUACUUUGUUCAAGAAUGCAAUGCACUAUCUAAUUUGGGAAUCAAAACCACUUUGAUAAAUAAGUUAUGCACAAAGACAAGAGCUUUUAAUAGUGAACCCCCUUGUCCCAUGAUUGCUCCUGUGAAUUACACUACAUUAUUGUAAUUCACAUGGCAAUACAAUACAUUGAAAUGCACUUAUAUAUAAUCAACAAAAAGCACUGUUUCUGUUAGUCACCAGACAUGCCUAUACUACACUGAGUCUACUUCAGGGUUACAUGUAGGAUACAUGGAUCUGUGGAAUGCUCAGUUUCUUGCACUGUAAUACAAGGUGAACCAGCCUGCAAUUCAGAUGACCAGCAUUGUCACAACACUGAGCCUGUCUGAGGAUUAUGAAUGGUUAAUUUCAUUGAAUGAAAAACUGGAACUCUUGUUGAAACCAACACAGAAUUGAUUUACUUUUAUAUAUACUAAGAAGAUACAUCUAACACAAUGUGUUAAAUCAUUUAUACUUUCACUAGUUUUAAAAGUAUUUUAGCAUGGCCUGGGUUAUAUCAUCAAAGCAAGCUUAGUUGAUAAUUGAAACAAGUAGUGUAUGUUCAUUAUCCUUGCUUGGUUUAUUCAGACUUUUACGCAGUCUUCCCAACUUCACAGCUCUCUGAGUUUGUGGCUCUUUUUUUUUAACUUUUGGGUUUUCUGAUUUUUUGGGGGGAUUUUUUUCUGGAAAUAAUUCCUUUUAACAUAAGCAAUAAACACACAGGUUUAAAAACUAAUUUCAAAUAUAUUUAAAAAUUGCCCACCAAAGAAAAGUGUUGACCUGCAUGUUUAUUGUUUAUAUGACAAACCUCAGUUGGUGACUCUUCCUCUUACAAUCAUCCCCUAUGCAUUCUGUCUUUCUCUCUGUUAAUAUGAAAUUGUAAGUUCUGAAAGUUCAUGACUGAGUAUAUGUGUGUGUGUGUGUAUAUAUAUACAUAUAUAUAUUAGAAAGUUAGAAGUUAUGGCCAGUUAUUGGUUUUGCAUCUAUAAAGCACUUAGCAGUAUAAGGAACUUGUCAGACUUAAAUGGCUGAAGGUGCAUAACCUCAUGCAUCUUCAGCCUUAUGAGUCUGAUGAGUCUCCUAUGCUGCUAAACACUUUCUAGGUGUGAAACCAAUGAUCAUUCUAUGACCAACCAUAACUUCUUCCUAAGAAAUAUAUCACUGCUCUAAUACUUUAGACUGUUCUUUUUUGGAUAUAUGGACUACUGACAAGAUAUAUAAAUAUAU